Molecule: long non-coding RNA, 102 nt
Organism: Sander lucioperca (pikeperch)
Lineage: Eukaryota; Metazoa; Chordata; Actinopteri; Perciformes; Percidae
Exons: 3
Source: RefSeq, a predicted model, not a curated record
UAAAAUAAUCCCACAUGCUCAUGCAUCAGCAAACGUCUCUGUAAAUACAGAGGAUAUUGAUGAGGCAUUUGAAUGUGGACAAAUAUUGGAUUGUUUUAGUAC